CCUACGGGUGGCGGCAGUGGGGAAUAUUGGGCAAUGGAGGAAACUCUGACCCAGCAACGCCGCGUGAAUGAUGAAGGUCUUCGGUUUGUAAAGUUCUUUUCUAAGGGAAGAAGAAAGUGACGGUACCUUAGGAAUAAGCCUCGGCUAACUACGUGCCAGCAGCCGCUGUAAUCCGGAGGAGGCGGGCGUUAUCCGGAAGGACUGGGCGUAAAGGGUGCGUAGGUGGGUUGGCAAGUUAGUAGCGUAACUCCCAGGCUCAACCUUGGAACUACUACUAAAACUGGUGGUCUUGAGUGCAGGAGGGGCAACCGGAAUGCGUAGUGUAGCGGUGGAAUGCGUAGAUAUCAGGAGGAACACCAGUGGCGAAGGCAGGUUGCUAGACUGUAACUGACACUGAGGCACGAAAGCGUGGGGAGCAAACAGGAUUAGAUACCCCUGUAGUC
RNAcentral lists this ribosomal RNA (443 nucleotides) under uncultured bacterium. RNAcentral's name for it is "partial 16S ribosomal RNA". It matches the Rfam family "Bacterial small subunit ribosomal RNA", at positions 338 to 795 of the family's 1533-position model. The record is from RNAcentral.